RNAcentral lists this ribosomal RNA (253 nucleotides) under uncultured bacterium. RNAcentral's name for it is "partial 16S ribosomal RNA". It matches the Rfam family "Bacterial small subunit ribosomal RNA", at positions 524 to 776 of the family's 1533-position model. The record is from RNAcentral.
UACGUAGGGGGCAAGCGUUGUCCGGAUUUAUUGGGCGUAAAGAGCGUGUAGGCGGCUUCACAGGUCCGCUGUGAAAACUCGAGGCUCAACCUCGAGCUGUCGGUGGAAACCGUGUGGCUAGAGUCCGGAAGAGGAGAAUGGAAUUCCUGGUGUAGCGGUGAAAUGCGCAGAUAUCAGGAAGAACACCCGUGGCGAAGGCGGUUCUCUGGGACGGUACUGACGCUGAGACGCGAAAGCGUGGGGAGCGAACAGG